CCUACGGGAGGCAGCAGUGGGGGAUAUUGCACAAUGGGGGAAACCCUGAUGCAGCGACGCCGCGUGAACGAUGAAGUAUUUCGGUAUGUAAAGCUCUAUCAGCAGGGAAGAAAAUGACGGUACCUGACUAAGAAGCCCCGGCUAACUACGUGCCAGCAGCCGCGGUAAUAGGUAGGGGGCAAGCGUUAUCCGGAUUUACUGGGUGUAAAGGGGGCGUAGACGGUCCUGAAAGCCAGAUGUGAAAGCCCGGGGAUCAACCCCGGACUGCAUUUGGAACUGGAAGGCUAGAGUGUCGGAGAGGUAGGCGGAAUUCGUAGUGUAGCGGUGAAAUGCGUAGAUAUUAGGAGGAACACCAGUGGCGAAGGCGGCCUGCUGGACGAUGACUGACGUUGAGGCUCGAAAGCGUGGGGAGCAAACAGGAUUAGAUACCCUUGUAGUC
This 439-nucleotide ribosomal RNA is filed under the name uncultured bacterium. Its description in RNAcentral is "partial 16S ribosomal RNA". It matches the Rfam family "Bacterial small subunit ribosomal RNA", at positions 338 to 795 of the family's 1533-position model. The record is from RNAcentral.